This 89-nucleotide transfer RNA is filed under the name Cavia porcellus (domestic guinea pig). It matches the Rfam family "tRNA". From Rfam's summary of the family: Transfer RNA (tRNA) molecules are approximately 80 nucleotides in length. Their secondary structure includes four short double-helical elements and three loops (D, anti-codon, and T loops). Lineage: Eukaryota; Metazoa; Chordata; Mammalia; Rodentia; Caviidae. The record is from Rfam by way of RNAcentral.
CCUUCGAUAGCUCAGUUGGUAGAGCGGAGGACUGUAGUGGGUGCAUGUCUGACAUCCUUAGGUCGCUGGUUCGAAUCCGGCUCGAAGGA